GACGAACGCUGGCGGCGUGCUUAACACAUGCAAGUCGAACGAUGAUGCUGGGGCUUGCUCCAGUUGAUUAGUGGCGAACGGGUGAGUAACACGUGAGCAAUCUGCCCUUGACUCUGGGAUAACUGCGGGAAACUGUAGCUAAUACCGGAUACUUUCACCGGAAGGCAUCUUCUGGUGAUGAAAGAAUUUCGGUCAGGGAUGAGCUCGCGGCCUAUCAGCUUGUUGGUGAGGUAACGGCUCACCAAGGCGACGACGGGUAACCGGCCUGAGAGGGUGACCGGUCACACUGGGACUGAGACACGGCCCAGACUCCUACGGGAGGCAGCAGUGGGGAAUAUUGCACAAUGGGCGCAAGCCUGAUGCAGCAACGCCGCGUGGGGGAUGAAGGCCUUCGGGUUGCAAACCUCUUUUAGCAGGGAAGAAGCGAAAGUGACGGUACCUGCAGAAAAAGCACCGGCUAACUACGUGCCAGCCGCCGCAGUAA
RNAcentral lists this ribosomal RNA (484 nucleotides) under uncultured bacterium. RNAcentral's name for it is "partial 16S ribosomal RNA". It matches the Rfam family "Bacterial small subunit ribosomal RNA", at positions 28 to 523 of the family's 1533-position model. The record is from RNAcentral.